RNAcentral lists this ribosomal RNA (632 nucleotides) under Brandisia hancei. RNAcentral's name for it is "eukaryotic LSU rRNA". The stretch from base 238 to 393 matches the Rfam family "5.8S ribosomal RNA". Lineage: Eukaryota; Viridiplantae; Streptophyta; Magnoliopsida; Lamiales; Orobanchaceae. The record is from RNAcentral.
UUUCCGUAGGUGAACCUGCGGAAGGAUCAUUGUCGAAACCUGCAAAAGCAGACCGCGAACACGUUCAACCACAUCGGGACCGCGGCGGGUGGGAAACCUCACGCUGCGUUCCCCCCCUGCACGGUUGCGGGCUAACGAACCCCGGCGCGGCAUGCGCCAAGGAAAACUCAUAGAAGCGUCCGCCCCCCGUCGCCCCGUCCGCGGCGAGCGAGGGGGGACGUCUCUCAAUGUCAAAACGACUCUCGGCAACGGAUAUCUCGGCUCUCGCAUCGAUGAAGAACGUAGCGAAAUGCGAUACUUGGUGUGAAUUGCAGAAUCCCGUGAACCAUCGAGUCUUUGAACGCAAGUUGCGCCCGAAGCCACUCGGCCGAGGGCACGUCUGCCUGGGCGUCACGCAUCGCGUCGCCCCCCCUCCCAUCCCCGGAUAAUGGCCCCCCGUGCGCAGCGUCGUGCGGUCGGCCCAAAUGCGAACCCGCGGCGACUCACGUCACGACCAGUGGUGGUUGAACACUCAACUCUCGUGCUGUCGUGCCGGGCGUCGCACGUCGGGCGUCGUCGUAGACCCAACGGUGCGAGCUGCUCGCGCCUUCGACCGCGACCCCAGGUCAGGCGGGAUUACCCGCUGAGUUUAA